GUCUCAGUUGGUAGAGCAUGGUGUUUGCAACGCCAGGGUUGUGGGUUCGAUUCCCAC
This is a non-coding RNA of Salmo salar (Atlantic salmon), 57 nucleotides long. The record is from Rfam. NCBI's taxonomy places the organism in Eukaryota, Metazoa, Chordata, Actinopteri, Salmoniformes, Salmonidae.